GCCGGGCAUGGUGAUGCAUGCCUGUAAUCUCAGCAGCUCAGGAGCCUGAGGCAGGAGAAUCAGAAGUUCAAUGCCAACCUCAGUAACUUGGUAAGGCUAUAAGCAACUUAAUAAGCCCCUGCCUCAA
RNAcentral lists this non-coding RNA (127 nucleotides) under Leptotrombidium deliense. The record is from RNAcentral. Lineage: Eukaryota; Metazoa; Arthropoda; Arachnida; Trombidiformes; Trombiculidae.